CCAGGACGAGCCCCGCCGGGGAAGGAGAGGGAGAAGAGGCCCCGCCGGGCCCCGCCGCCCCCUCCAUGGAGGCGAAGGAAAGGGCCCAGGAAAGGAAGGCAGGCAGGCUGAGCCUCCACGAAGGGCGGGCCCCGGAAGGCCAAAUGUCAUCUUCAUAGAAUAUAUCUUCUUGACCGUUUUUAGCUACGUAACUAAAAAGUUCUGGAACCCUGAUAACAAAUAAACAAAUACAUUGUGUGAUCCAUUUCCUCCUGGACUCCAGAAAAGAAACUUUAUACGAGGGCAAGUCAAAAUUAGCUAAUACAAAAGCUUGUCGACAAAUGGACAAAAGUGUAUUGAAAAGCAGUAAGAUUGCCUGGAACAAUUAUGACAACUUUUCCCAGUUCCUUUCCCUUCCGCUCCUUCCUGAUAACUCCUCCACCCAUUCUAUACCCCCCGAUGAGAGCCCCCUAACCCCUUCCCACCUUAACUCAUUUCAUCCCACCCACUUACUUCCCUACCCAUAUCUACCCUACUUUUUCCCUUUAGUCCCCAAUUGAUUGUAUCAAAUUUCAAUAAAAAUCAUUUAUAAAAAAAAAAGAAAAGCAGUAAGAUUGCCUGGAACAAUUAUGUAUUUGUAUUUUCUGAAUGUUGAUGAAAAUAAAUUCUACAGCAGGA
Molecule: long non-coding RNA, 657 nt
Organism: Anolis carolinensis (green anole)
Lineage: Eukaryota; Metazoa; Chordata; Lepidosauria; Squamata; Anolidae
Exons: 3
Source: RefSeq, a predicted model, not a curated record